RNA transcript from Fragaria vesca subsp. vesca, 1409 nucleotides. RefSeq lists it as uncharacterized. The transcript is spliced from 4 exons. Lineage: Eukaryota; Viridiplantae; Streptophyta; Magnoliopsida; Rosales; Rosaceae. The record is from RefSeq and is a predicted model, not a curated record.
UUUUGCUAUUUCGAGUGUGGUUAUUCGGUGCAGGAAAGGCGAUAUUUGUUGCGAGAAUUCCCAGAACUAGUUGGGUGUGAGGAGAAUUCUAAGGUUUUGGAGGAGGGGUGUAUCAUGGCAGCACUGUUCUUCCAAUAUUGAGAUAGAGAUGGAGUGUCAGAUAAUUGUCCACAUCCAGAAAAGAGUUGGCAGUGAUGCAACAUUUUUAGUUUUUACACCCUGCUUCUCUUUAUGCUGUUCGUAACUCAAAUUUUAGUAGACAAUCUGAUUUAUUGUCAAGUGAUCUCUGGAAGAAUUACCGUAAAUAUUCCCUAAUAAGCAAUGAGGAUGAGUGUUCCUAUUUAGAACAGUGCUGAAAGUGGAUGGAUUUCACAGCUUGGAAAGCGUAGUGGGCAUAAAGGCAGCUAAAGCAUUAAUGCAUUGGAGCAAGGCAGUUUGGCAGAUGAAGCUUAUAGAGAGGUAGAAAGUUCAGGCAAACAUGGAGAAGGUGGGAGUCAUUAGUCUGGUCACUUUGGUGGAAAGUUUUCCAAAUUGUAAUUGCAAGGGUGAGAGAGGAAAAGCGUGGGACGAAACUAGAGGAGCGGAGGAAGGUUCGCAUUGUGAUCAUUACAACAUGAAGACUAUGCAAGCAGAGAUUGCUGGUUUGUUGAAAAAAGUGGAAUAUAGGUGGGCUAGCGGCAUCAUUUCUAUCAGCCCUUUGAAAGGUCAACAUCUGAAGUCCACAACACUGUCUCAGUCGUGAAGCCAACCAGUGCUAGUUGUCCCCCAAGGUUCAGUAGUUGCCCACAAGACUCAUCUGAGGGAAUCUGAGCUGGUGUUGUAGAGAAAAGUUCUUUCUCGAUAUCAAAUGACAGGAUCAUUUUUGUAGAGUGAUUCAGCCAGUGAAUGCUACCUUUGUGCUGCACGCAUAAGUCUUCCUGCACAUACACUUGGCUCUCCAUAACCAAAGGAUAAAAAAGUGAAACAUUGUCUUGGUGCGUAUUCCAUUUGAAGCUCCUGGAGAACAGAAUCAACCCCCUUGCUGAUUGUCCCCUGUAGUGAUCAGUGUAUGCCUCCUCCGGAUGAACCAACUCACCAUCAAAGUUCCGGGUCAAAUCCAAUACGAUGAGAUUAAUAGCCUUGGUGGAGGCAGCUUCUAUUGGCUCAAUCGGGACAGAAUAAAAAGUCUGAGUUGAAGCAGUCCAUGUGCUAAAGAGAGUGUGCACGGAGUGUCUUCUAUUGCUACUCAAUGAUUCAUGUUCUGCUAGAAAAGAACGGGACCGAAUUGAAUUGUAAAACCAUCUGCUUGCCAUUUGAAAGACCCGGAGGGACUCCGAUGAGCACUUGAUCAUCACACGGUGUAAUUCGUCGUGAGAUAGAGGUGAAGCUUUAAUAGCUUCUCUAGUCUCAUCCUCCCCUGCAUCUUUUGA